ACGAGCGCAACCCCUACUCUUAGUUACCAGCACAUAAAGGUGGGGACUCUGGGAGAACUGCCUACGCAAGUAGAGAGGAAGGUGGGGAUGACGUCAAAUCAGCACGGCCCUUACGUCCAGGGCUACACACGUGCUACAAUGGCCGGUACAGAGGGCAGCUACCUGGUGACAGGAUGCUAAUCCAUCAAAGCCGGUCUCAGUUCGGAUCGAAGUCUGCAACUCGACUUCGUGAAGCUGGAAUCGCUAGUAAUCGCGCAUCAGCCAUGGCGCGGUGAAUACGUUCCCGGGCCUUGCACACACCGCCCGU
RNAcentral lists this ribosomal RNA (307 nucleotides) under uncultured bacterium. RNAcentral's name for it is "bacterial SSU rRNA". It matches the Rfam family "Bacterial small subunit ribosomal RNA", at positions 1092 to 1397 of the family's 1533-position model. The record is from RNAcentral.